CGACGCCCUGGCCCGGCCAGGCCAGGCCCAGGAACUAGCGCUCCCCCUUCCGGCUCAGAGCGGGAGGGGCGACAGGGCAUGCGCAACGAGGUGCAGUUGCCGGAGGCCGCUUCCAUCCCUAUGUUAAAGAAAUCCUCUUCGGGUUUUCCUAGAGCAUGGGGGGCGGAGAAGUCAGCCCGAUCCUUCAAUUCCGAAGCUGAAAAGGGCUUUUAGUUUCAGUUACCUGAGGAACGGAUGGAAUCGUGUCCCGCAGCCACGAAUAUCUUCUCUCGUGCCCCGAGGAAGACGGCCUAGUUGAAAACGUUGUCAUCGGCACACAACCAGUCUUAUAACUUGAGUGGCUGCUUUUCUGGGUGGUAAAGAGCGAUAUCACACCGGGGGUGAGCAGUCCAGGGACGGAUGAACAAAAGGCACUGCAGAGACUGUUGCCUGGACUCUGGGUGCUGUAGAUGUUUGAAGUUCAUGCGACCUAAAGAAAUGACAAGCUUGACGCCCACCGUGCAUUUACAAGAAAUUAUUGUCUGCCAAGUAGAGGAUCAGAUACCUUUGACUCGAACUUCUCAAGAGUCUCUUGAACAUUAGAUUUCAAGACUUCACCUAAAAGAUUCUAGUUCUGGAGGGGGAU
Molecule: long non-coding RNA, 625 nt
Organism: Phyllostomus hastatus (greater spear-nosed bat)
Lineage: Eukaryota; Metazoa; Chordata; Mammalia; Chiroptera; Phyllostomidae
Exons: 3
Source: RefSeq, a predicted model, not a curated record